Cercocebus atys (sooty mangabey) is the source of this 1763-nucleotide long non-coding RNA. RefSeq lists it as uncharacterized. The record is from RefSeq and is a predicted model, not a curated record. The transcript is spliced from 3 exons. NCBI's taxonomy places the organism in Eukaryota, Metazoa, Chordata, Mammalia, Primates, Cercopithecidae.
AUCGACUCCAAAGUCUGUGAUCUUAACCACAGAUUUACCCUACUUAGCCAUCUCCUUCAAAACAAUGCAGGAUGAACCCUUUUUUUGUAAUCCUGUAAGUCAGGAGAGCCCUGCCCCGAAGUCGUCCUGCCUGGCCCUGGCUGAGCUCUGGGGACACUGAGACCUCGCCUGCUCCGCUGCUGUUGUGGUCUUUGUGAGUCGUUUUUCUGGGAAUGCCUCUGAAUGUGAGACGGCACGCACGAAACCCAAUCUCUACGAAAUCCAAUUCCUUAAUCUCCUUUGAGGCUAAUGCCCUAGCCGUUUCUCCAGCGCUGGGAGAAGGACACUGUGGGCUCCGCGGUGGGCGUGGAUGACCGCACAGCCCGAAAGGCUUGAGAGGUGUCGGCCGCCGCGCGCGCCGGGCCGGCUGUCCCCAGAGGGCGCUCUAGCUCUCCCCUUCCGCGGGAGGGGGCUCGCGGUCCGGCCAGAGCACAACCGACCUCUGCCUAGAACUUCGUCCAGAGACCCUGAAGCCUCCCACACCCUCACAUUUCCGAAGAAUUAUGGCUGGGACUCUCAGCACAAGCUUGCCAGAUUCUCAUACCAAAUACACUCAAGGAAAGGGCCCCCCAAGAAUGUUUCAAUACGUUAGUCUUCCAAAGACAGUAGCUUGAUGACCGUAGGAUUUGCAGCCAGCUUCUCUUUCUCUCAGAUCCAGUCUUGCCCUUGCGCUACUCUGCGGUGAGCGGAAGCGUGGAUUUCCAGGCCGCUGGGUUUGCUGACUGGGUUUGGCCAGUGGAGGUGCUGUCAGGAGAUGGGAGUGGACCCAGAAGGAAGAAACCAGGUUAUUUCUUACCCUCUUUACUGCAGGCGGCUUCUCCGGCAGUGGCUGGGUCUCCAUGAGGAGUGGAUUUCUGAGGUUCCAGCCAUCACUGGAUGGCCUGCUCCUCCUGGUAGCUGUUCGUCCUCCGCUGCCUCAUGUCCAGGGUGGUAGUGGCUUCCUGUGCUUGCAGAUCUCCGGGUUGCUUCACUGUGGCUGAUUCCCUGCAUUGCAACCCUGGGUUGUAAAUGCUGGCACAAGGCCCAGGGCCCCAUCGUCUCAUCCCUCUGCAGAGGCCCAAGUACCGUCCGUCCUAGGGAGCCGCGUGCAGCAGUGCUGUGAUGAGUAAUGUUUGUGUGCUGUGUUCACAACCUCUUUGUCCAAGAACGGUGUGGUAUGGUGACAAGACGUGAGACUUCGACACUAGGUAAAUCUGGGUUCAAAUCUUGCCCAAGUCAUUUGCUGUCUGUGUGGCCUUGAGUAAGGUAUUAUUAUCAAUGUUAUCAUCAUCAUUAUUUAACGCCAGUGAAAUAAUCUUCAACACUCUUAAAAUAUGAGCAAACCAGAUUUUUCACUCAGAUUCCAAACUCACUCAGAGAGUUAGAAAUCUAUUCUGUAUCUAUACAGUUAUAUAAAGAGAAAUGAAUUCUUUUUUUACUUGGUUUGACUCAUAGACCAAAAAAAAAAAGUGACUUACUCAGGACUAUGCUUCACUCUAUACUCCCAGGCAGAAUUACAUGCAGAAUUUCUAUACCUUUAAUACAUUGUCCAAACCCAAGCAUAUAUGUAUCUUCCAGUUUUUCCCCUUAUUUUAACAGAAAGGCACAUUUGAAAUAUGAAAGCAUUCCUGGUUGAAGUCAUGAGAAAUCAUCCUCUUUGAAAAGAGUGGAAAGAAGAGGGAAUUUUUCAGAGAAUGAAACCACAAUAGAAAUCAAGACUGGACUGGGCACAGUGGCUCAUGCCU